GACGAACCGUCCUAACGUUGUUCGGAAUCACUGGGCUUAAAGGGCGCGUAGGCGGGUCGCCAAGUCUGGGGUGAAAUCUUUCGGCUUAACCGGAAAAUAGCCCUGGAUACUGGCGAUCUAGAGGGUGGUAGGGGCAUGUGGAACUUCCGGUGGAGCGGUGAAAUGCGUUGAUAUCGGAAGGAACGCCGGUGGCGAAAGCGACGUGCUGGACCACUACUGACGCUGAGGAACGAAAGCUAGGGGAGCAAACAGG
RNAcentral lists this ribosomal RNA (253 nucleotides) under uncultured bacterium. RNAcentral's name for it is "partial 16S ribosomal RNA". It matches the Rfam family "Bacterial small subunit ribosomal RNA", at positions 524 to 776 of the family's 1533-position model. The record is from RNAcentral.